This 230-nucleotide ribosomal RNA is filed under the name uncultured bacterium. Its description in RNAcentral is "partial 16S ribosomal RNA". It matches the Rfam family "Bacterial small subunit ribosomal RNA", at positions 15 to 228 of the family's 1533-position model. The record is from RNAcentral.
GAUCCUGGCUCAGGACGAACGCUGGCGGCGUGCUUAACACAUGCAAGUCGAACGAGAAUCUGCGGAAAGAGGAUUCGUCCAAUUGAAGCAGAGGACAGUGGCGGACGGGUGAGUAACGCGUGAGGAACCUGCCUUUCAGAGGGGGACAACAGUUGGAAACGACUGCUAAUACCGCAUGACACAUUGAGGUCGCAUGGCCUUAAUGUCAAAGAUUUAUCGCUGAAAGAUGG